UACGAAGGGGGCUAGCGUUGUUCGGAUUCACUGGGCGUAAAGGGUGCGUAGGCGGUGGGGUAAGUCUGAUGUGAAAUCCCGCAGCUUAACUGCGGAACUGCAUUGGAAACUACUUCACUAGAGGAAUGGAGGGGAGACUGGAAUACUUGGUGUAGCAGUGAAAUGCGUAGAUAUCAAGUGGAACACCAGUGGCGAAGGCGAGUCUCUGGACAUUUCCUGACGCUGAGGCACGAAAGCCAGGGGAGCAAACGGG
Molecule: ribosomal RNA, 253 nt
Filed under: uncultured bacterium
Lineage: Bacteria
Description: partial 16S ribosomal RNA
Rfam family: Bacterial small subunit ribosomal RNA
Source: RNAcentral